GACGAACGCUGGCGGCGUGCUUAACACAUGCAAGUCGAACGGAAAGGCCCUGCUUUUGUGGGGUGCUCGAGUGGCGAACGGGUGAGUAACACGUGAGUAACCUGCCCUUGACUUUGGGAUAACUUCAGGAAACUGGGGCUAAUACCGGAUAGGAGCUCCUGCUGCAUGGUGUGGGUUGGAAAGUUUCGGCGGUUGGGGAUGGACUCGCGGCUUAUCAGCUUGUUGGUGGGGUAGUGGCUUACCAAGGCUUUGACGGGUAGCCGGCCUGAGAGGGUGACCGGCCACAUUGGGACUGAGAUACGGCACAGACUACUACGGGAGGCAGCAGUGGGGAAUAUUGCACAAUGGGAGGAAGCCUGAUGCAGCAACGCCGCGUGCGGGAUGACGGCCUUCGGGUUGUAAACCGCUUUCGCCUGUGACGAAGCGUGAGUGACGGUAAUGGGUAAAGAAGCACCGGCUAACUACGUG
This 468-nucleotide ribosomal RNA is filed under the name uncultured bacterium. RNAcentral's name for it is "partial 16S ribosomal RNA". It matches the Rfam family "Bacterial small subunit ribosomal RNA", at positions 28 to 507 of the family's 1533-position model. The record is from RNAcentral.